UACGUAGGGGGCAAGCGUUGUCCGGAUUUAUUGGGCGUAAAGAGCUCGUAGGUGGUUCGGUAAGUCGGAUGUGAAAUCUCCGGGCUUAACCCGGAGCGGCCAAGUGAUACUGUUGUGCUAGAGUGCGGAAGGGGCUACUGGAAUUCUCGGUGUAGCGGUGAAAUGCGUAGAUAUCGAGAGGAACACCUGCGGCGAAGGCGGGUAGCUGGGCCGACACUGACGCUGAGGCGCGAAAGCCAGGGGAGCGAACGGG
RNAcentral lists this ribosomal RNA (253 nucleotides) under uncultured bacterium. Its description in RNAcentral is "partial 16S ribosomal RNA". It matches the Rfam family "Bacterial small subunit ribosomal RNA", at positions 524 to 776 of the family's 1533-position model. The record is from RNAcentral.